This 255-nucleotide long non-coding RNA is filed under the name Sorghum bicolor (sorghum). Its description in RNAcentral is "long non-coding RNA (SBIC_LNC006201)". Lineage: Eukaryota; Viridiplantae; Streptophyta; Magnoliopsida; Poales; Poaceae. The record is from RNAcentral.
CAGCCACCAAUCACACCCCUCGCCCUUUCCUGACCCGCGCCGCAUCCACGCUCGCCCUUCCAGCACGGAGCAAAUCCGCCCUAGGCAGUGCCGCAAGGCCACCAUCCUAGCGAUAGAGACGGCGUGGCGUCGAGAAGGCUCAAGCAGCCUAGGCAUUUGUGCACGGCAUCCUGGUGGCGUGCACGGUUCGUGCAUGGCCUGAACAGUGGCGGCGACGGCCACUAGGUACCGCUCCUCCAGCCUUAGGCAUUGUUU